GCAAAUGAAGUCAAUACAGAUAUAUGUAUGUAGAUGUACGCACAAGCACAAGUAUGCAGAUGGGAACCUCCGCUAUAAAAAUACAAUAUUUAUGAGUAGCUGUGAAAAUUUUGUACACUUUUGGUUUAGUCGAUAUAAAGCACCGCAACAGUGUACAACGAAAAUGGGAAAAGUAGGAAAUGCUGAGUUGUUCAGCAAUGAACAAUUCAGUUGGGUGGAAAAAUUUACGUAAAAUUUUGCAGAACAGCUAAGAAAAUUGCGUAAAUUCUUAUUGAAGUUCUACAGCGAACGAAAUACGAACAAAUUAAUUAAUAAAAGUCGAUCGAAAUUUUCUAAAAGUUAUGGCGAUAAUUUGUUGAUAACUUUACGAAAUAGCUGUGAUAUUUUUUAUUUUAAAUAUCUAACUUAUACGGUUGGAAGAAAUUUUCCUAAAAUUUUCAAUGAUUUAUGUCGCUAAGCACAAGUUGUGUCCUGUGGAAAGCCGAUAGCGGAAGAGCUGAGCUGCGUAUGGAAAAUUGCACAGCAGCGCAGUAACGGAGUUGGUAAUGGGGACAGUUAGGCAACAGCCAAGUCACAAUGUUGGUCGCCUCACAUUCACCAAUAUCGACACUCUGCUGGUAGUCACUCAGGUCCAACAGUGAUAUUCUAAUAAAGUGAUUGUGGUGACCUUUGGCCACUCAAAUACACAAAACGCCCAUUUGCUAUAAUUGCAUUUUAUUUUUAAAAUAUUUGUAAGCGUCGGGUUGACUGUGAUAUUUUAUGUGUAUUUAUCGUAAAUCUAAAAACCGGAAAAUGGCGAAAAUGGGUAGGUGUAGUAUAUUUCACAUUACUUCGCACAUUUUUGGCAGACUCCGUAAAUUUAGAUUUAUGAUAAAUUGUGAUAAGAAACUGUGAUAUAUUUUGUGUUCAUUUUUUUGUAUAAAACUACAAAAGAAGAAAAAAAGAGAAAAAUAAAGAAAAUAGAAAAAAAAAUUAAAUAAAAGUACCUACACUAAAACCGAAA
This is a long non-coding RNA of Anastrepha obliqua, 1003 nucleotides long. RefSeq lists it as uncharacterized. NCBI's taxonomy places the organism in Eukaryota, Metazoa, Arthropoda, Insecta, Diptera, Tephritidae. The record is from RefSeq and is a predicted model, not a curated record. The transcript has 2 exons.